Molecule: long non-coding RNA, 895 nt
Organism: Bombus pyrosoma
Lineage: Eukaryota; Metazoa; Arthropoda; Insecta; Hymenoptera; Apidae
Exons: 4
Source: RefSeq, a predicted model, not a curated record
AAUGGUUUAUUGGCGGGUAUCGAGCCGUGACGCGGACUCGAACAGCCGAGCUGAGAGCGACUGCAGGAAGACUAUAGGAAAGGCUCAUUAGCCGCAGACAGUUGACAGGACAAAGCUGGAUUGUUCUUUCCCCUCUUCUCAGCCUCAAUGUAGAUCCCCGUAUCACCCUUUAGUCCGCCAUCAUCCGUCGUCCACGAAUUAAGCAUCUUGCUUCUCGGGCUCGUCAACCGGCAAUCCAAAUCAGGCGAUACGAUAAAUGCUCUCUAUCGCGCGCUCCGAAGCGUCACCGACUGCCGAACGUCGGAUGGACGAACGCAGGGAAGAGUAAUUCGAUUUCUUUUAAUGACGUGUCCGAACUACGAGAUAGAAAGUGAGCUCAGUGACAAAUAAUAUCUAUGGAAAAUAACUGUCAGAGAGAAAUAUGAACACCGUGUUGACUCAGAAUUAACGGAUGACUAAUUAUCUGACAAAAGGUCGGAGAACUUGAUGCUGUAUUUCAAAUAUUCUUUGAUGAAAUGAGAAUAAAUUUGAGGACCUACUUUUGAAUAUAAAAGUAGCCUAACGAUAAAUAACUUUUAAUUUUUAUGUAUCAUAACACUCAUCCCGGAAUAUAUAGAUGUAUCCCAUCGUAAGGACGAUUUCACUUUUGCAACAAGAAAGAGAAGAUGUUUCCUGUGACAUCGCAUAUGCCAGGUAGCGGAAUCCAUUGUGCCACUUGUUGCAGUUUCGAAAUAACUUUCUUCUCACAGAGCACAGCGACAUAAUUCAAUUUACCUAUAAUAAAUUGUAUUUCAAAAUAUACAAUUAAGAAAAGAAUUGUAACGCUAUCUGUCAGCGAUUAAUUUAUAUUUCAAUGUAUAACAUAUCGAAGUGAUUUCGCUUUUAACUCGUGUUA